This 74-nucleotide non-coding RNA is filed under the name Xylophilus sp. Leaf220. RNAcentral's name for it is "SAH (S-adenosyl-L-homocysteine) riboswitch aptamer". It matches the Rfam family "SAH (S-adenosyl-L-homocysteine) riboswitch aptamer". The record is from Rfam by way of RNAcentral. RNAcentral also lists the same sequence under 1 other name. Lineage: Bacteria; Pseudomonadati; Pseudomonadota; Betaproteobacteria; Burkholderiales.
CUUUCCGAGGAGCGUUGCAGCGCCGCCCAGGCGUGAGGCUCGGAAUCAUCCAUCCGCAACGACGCUCGCCCACG